GGUGAGUUAAUGUAGAUACUGUGCCAAUUGCCAAGCAAAUUUGCAUCAUUUGUACAGUACAAUUACAUUGGAAGUACCAAUGUGGUUAACAGGUUUUUGAGCAUUGUACAAGCUCCUCUUGAGGCAGGAUUUGGCGUCCGUGGGAUCAAGCACAUUCACCAUGAAUUCAUGGAUGUCAAGAACAACUAUCUCAGCAUUCGCAUUGUCAUCACAAACAAGUCUGAGAUGAACUCACAAAUGGAGAUAAUAUUGGAGAAGCCAAAGCAAUCACCUGCAUAAUCUUGAUUCCUUGCUGUCAGGUGGUACACCGGAGGGAGGACAGAUCACCGAAUUUCUUUAAGAACAUCUGUGUGCAACACUUUUUGCUUCUGCAGCCUUGAAGGUCCAUAGCUUAUGUUCUAUCAAUGCAUGGCGAUUUUGACUUCAACAAGUUAUGUCUAGAAAACCUGUUGGUUCAUUGUAGUCAGGCACCAUUUCACACUGAUUCUGCACUACUGGCAGGGGUAUCAACGCCAGCCUCUUUCCCUUCUUUGGUGUACAUGAUAUGGGGAACUAUUUCUUAUGGCUCCGAUCACACUGGUGCCAUGCUGCAGCACCAUGGUUACAGGCUUAUAAUCUAGAAUUGCGUUAUGCGGUAGAGGUGCACCAGGUUAGAAAUUAGGUUAUCAUUCACAAUGACAGCUUGGCUGUUCUCCUU
This is a long non-coding RNA of Phragmites australis (common reed), 697 nucleotides long. RefSeq lists it as uncharacterized. The record is from RefSeq and is a predicted model, not a curated record. NCBI's taxonomy places the organism in Eukaryota, Viridiplantae, Streptophyta, Magnoliopsida, Poales, Poaceae. The transcript has 3 exons.